GACGAACGCUGGCGGCGUGCUUAACACAUGCAGGUCGAACGGAAAGGCCCUGCUUUUGUGGGGUGCUCGAGUGGCGAACGGGUGAGUAACACGUGAGUAACCUGCCCUUGACUUUGGGAUAACUUCAGGAAACUGGGGCUAAUACCGGAUAGGAGCUCCUGCUGCAUGGUGGGGGUUGGAAAGUUUCGGCGGUUGGGGAUGGACUCGCGGCUUAUCAGCUUGUUGGUGGGGUAGUGGCUUACCAAGGCUUUGACGGGUAGCCGGCCUGAGAGGGUGACCGGCCACAUUGGGACUGAGAUACGGCCCAGACUCCUACGGGAGGCAGCAGUGGGGAAUAUUGCACAAUGGGCGGAAGCCUGAUGCAGCAACGCCGCGUGCGGGAUGACGGCCUUCGGGUUGUAAACCGCUAUCGCCUGUGACGAAGCGUGAGUGACGGUAAUGGGUAAAGAAGCACCGGCUAACUACGUG
This 468-nucleotide ribosomal RNA is filed under the name uncultured bacterium. RNAcentral's name for it is "partial 16S ribosomal RNA". It matches the Rfam family "Bacterial small subunit ribosomal RNA", at positions 28 to 507 of the family's 1533-position model. The record is from RNAcentral.